This 1343-nucleotide ribosomal RNA is filed under the name uncultured bacterium. Its description in RNAcentral is "16S ribosomal RNA". It matches the Rfam family "Bacterial small subunit ribosomal RNA", at positions 28 to 1378 of the family's 1533-position model. The record is from RNAcentral.
GACGAACGCUGGCGGCGUGCUUAACACAUGCAAGUCGAACGGAAAGGCCCUGCUUUUGUGGGGUGCUCGAGUGGCGAACGGGUGAGUAACACGUGAGUAACCUGCCCUUGACUUUGGGAUAACUUCGGGAAACUGGGGCUAAUACCGGAUAGGAGCUCCUGCUGCAUGGUGGGGGUUGGAAAGUUUCGGCGGUUGGGGAUGGACUCGCGGCUUAUCAGCUUGUUGGUGGGGUAGUGGCUUACCAAGGCUUUGACGGGUAGCCGGCCUGAGAGGGUGACCGGCCACAUUGGGACUGAGAUACGGCCCAGACUCCUACGGGAGGCAGCAGUGGGGAAUAUUGCACAAUGGGCGGAAGCCUGAUGCAGCAACGCCGCGUGCGGGAUGACGGCCUUCGGGUUGUAAACCGCUUUCGCCUGUGACGAAGCGUGAGUGACGGUAAUGGGUAAAGAAGCACCGGCUAACUACGUGCCAGCAGCCGCGGUGAUACGUAGGGUGCGAGCGUUGUCCGGAUUUAUUGGGCGUAAAGGGCUCGUAGGUGGUUGAUCGCGUCGGAAGUGUAAUCUUGUGGCUUAACCCUGAGCGUGCUUUCGAUACGGGUUGACUUGAGGAAGGUAGGGGAGAAUGGAAUUCCUGGUGGAGCGGUGGAAUGCGCAGAUAUCAGGAGGAACACCAGUGGCGAAGGCGGUUCUCUGGGCCUUUCCUGACGCUGAGGAGCGAAAGCGUGGGGAGCGAACAGGCUUAGAUACCCUGGUAGUCCACGCUGUAAACGGUGGGUACUAGGUGUGGGGUCCAUUCCACGGGUUCCGUGCCGUAGCUAACGCUUUAAGUACCCCGCCUGGGGAGUACGGCCGCAAGGCUAAAACUCAAAGGAAUUGACGGGGCCCCGCACAAGCGGCGGAGCAUGCGGAUUAAUUCGAUGCAACGCGUAGAACCUUACCUGGGUUUGACAUGGAUCGGGAGUGCUCAGAGAUGGGUGUGCCUCUUUUGGGGUCGGUUCACAGGUGGUGCAUGGCUGUCGUCAGCUCGUGUCGUGAGAUGUUGGGUUAAGUCCCGCAACGAGCGCAACCCUUGUUCACUGUUGCCAGCACGUUAUGGUGGGGACUCAGUGGAGACCGCCGGGGUCAACUCGGAGGAAGGUGGGGAUGACGUCAAGUCAUCAUGCCCCUUAUGUCCAGGGCUUCACGCAUGCUACAAUGGCUGGUACAGAGAGUGGCGAGCCUGUGAGGGUGAGCGAAUCUCGGAAAGCCGGUCUCGGUUCGGAUUGGGGUCUGCAACUCGACCUCAUGAAGUCGGAGUCGCUAGUAAUCGCAGAUCAGCAACGCUGCGGUGAAUACGUUCCCGGG